AAGACUAUAGACCUGCGGAGUACCUGCGGAAGGAUCACUAUAGAAAACAUACAUAUUCCCAGAGGGAGGGGGGUAGGAGAAGGGGGGGGUGUGUGUGGGUUAUAUAUGUACCCCUCUCCUCUUUCCUGUCUUCUCUGGGCAAACAAACAUACAUGACUAAGAAAACAGUAACCUACAGAGAGAUGGUUUGAUUUGGUUUGACUUGACUUGGAUAUAAUGCCUUUCUCUCAACAAAAAUUC
This 240-nucleotide unclassified non-coding RNA is filed under the name soil metagenome. Its description in RNAcentral is "partial contains 5.8S ribosomal RNA, internal transcribed spacer 2, and large subunit ribosomal RNA". The record is from RNAcentral.